GAUGAACGCUGGCGGCGUGCCUAAUACAUGCAAGUCGAGCGAACGGACGAGAAGCUUGCUUCUCUGAUGUUAGCGGCGGACGGGUGAGUAACACGUGGAUACCCUACCUAUAAGACUGGUAUAACUUCGGGAAACCGGAGCUAAUACCGGAUAAUAUUUUGAACCGCAUGGUUCAAAAGUGAAAGACGGUCUUGCUGUCACUUAUAGAUGGAUCCGCGCUGCAUUAGCUAGUUGGUAAGGUAACGGCUUACCAAGGCAACGAUGCAUAGCCGACCUGAGAGGGUGAUCGGCCACACUGGAGCUGAGACACGGUCCAGACUCCUAAGGGAGGCAGCAGUAGGGAAUCUUCCGCAAUGGGCGAAAGCCUGACGGAGCAACGCCGCGUGAGUGAUGAAGGUCUUCGGAUCGUAAAACUCUGUUAUUAGGGAAGAACAUAUGUGUAAGUAACUGUGCACAUCUUGACGGUACCUAAUCAGAAAGCCACGGCUAACUACGUG
RNAcentral lists this ribosomal RNA (497 nucleotides) under uncultured bacterium. RNAcentral's name for it is "partial 16S ribosomal RNA". It matches the Rfam family "Bacterial small subunit ribosomal RNA", at positions 28 to 507 of the family's 1533-position model. The record is from RNAcentral.